RNAcentral lists this ribosomal RNA (1574 nucleotides) under Lactobacillus crispatus. RNAcentral's name for it is "bacterial SSU rRNA". It matches the Rfam family "Bacterial small subunit ribosomal RNA". Lineage: Bacteria; Bacillati; Bacillota; Bacilli; Lactobacillales; Lactobacillaceae. The record is from RNAcentral.
UGAGUUUGAUUGGCUCAGGACGAACGCUGGCGGCGUGCCUAAUACAUGCAAGUCGAGCGAGCGGAACUAACAGAUUUACUUCGGUAAUGACGUUAGGAAAGCGAGCGGCGGAUGGGUGAGUAACACGUGGGGAACCUGCCCCAUAGUCUGGGAUACCACUUGGAAACAGGUGCUAAUACCGGAUAAGAAAGCAGAUCGCAUGAUCAGCUUUUAAAGGCGGCGUAAGCUGUCGCUAUGGGAUGGCCCCGCGGUGCAUUAGCUAGUUGGUAAGGUAAAGGCUUACCAAGGCGAUGAUGCAUAGCCGAGUUGAGAGACUGAUCGGCCACAUUGGGACUGAGACACGGCCCAAACUCCUACGGGAGGCAGCAGUAGGGAAUCUUCCACAAUGGACGCAAGUCUGAUGGAGCAACGCCGCGUGAGUGAAGAAGGUUUUCGGAUCGUAAAGCUCUGUUGUUGGUGAAGAAGGAUAGAGGUAGUAACUGGCCUUUAUUUGACGGUAAUCAACCAGAAAGUCACGGCUAACUACGUGCCAGCAGCCGCGGUAAUACGUAGGUGGCAAGCGUUGUCCGGAUUUAUUGGGCGUAAAGCGAGCGCAGGCGGAAGAAUAAGUCUGAUGUGAAAGCCCUCGGCUUAACCGAGGAACUGCAUCGGAAACUGUUUUUCUUGAGUGCAGAAGAGGAGAGUGGAACUCCAUGUGUAGCGGUGGAAUGCGUAGAUAUAUGGAAGAACACCAGUGGCGAAGGCGGCUCUCUGGUCUGCAACUGACGCUGAGGCUCGAAAGCAUGGGUAGCGAACAGGAUUAGAUACCCUGGUAGUCCAUGCCGUAAACGAUGAGUGCUAAGUGUUGGGAGGUUUCCGCCUCUCAGUGCUGCAGCUAACGCAUUAAGCACUCCGCCUGGGGAGUACGACCGCAAGGUUGAAACUCAAAGGAAUUGACGGGGGCCCGCACAAGCGGUGGAGCAUGUGGUUUAAUUCGAAGCAACGCGAAGAACCUUACCAGGUCUUGACAUCUAGUGCCAUUUGUAGAGAUACAAAGUUCCCUUCGGGGACGCUAAGACAGGUGGUGCAUGGCUGUCGUCAGCUCGUGUCGUGAGAUGUUGGGUUAAGUCCCGCAACGAGCGCAACCCUUGUUAUUAGUUGCCAGCAUUAAGUUGGGCACUCUAAUGAGACUGCCGGUGACAAACCGGAGGAAGGUGGGGAUGACGUCAAGUCAUCAUGCCCCUUAUGACCUGGGCUACACACGUGCUACAAUGGGCAGUACAACGAGAAGCGAGCCUGCGAAGGCAAGCGAAUCUCUGAAAGCUGUUCUCAGUUCGGACUGCAGUCUGCAACUCGACUGCACGAAGCUGGAAUCGCUAGUAAUCGCGGAUCAGCACGCCGCGGUGAAUACGUUCCCGGGCCUUGUACACACCGCCCGUCACACCAUGGGAGUCUGCAAUGCCCAAAGCCGGUGGCCUAACCUUCGGGAAGGAGCCGUCUAAGGCAGGGCAGAUGACUGGGGUGAAGUCGUAACAAGGUAGCCGUAGGAGAACCUGCGCUGGAUCACCUCCUUUAAUAAAUAGCGGCGGCGUGAU